AUGAAGAAUCAGAAAGGAUUAAAGGCUUACCUGCCGAGUCGCUCCGAUGGCUCUUCAACCGUGGCGUUCGUAGAAGAAAUCCAGACAAUCUUGAUUAAGGGCUUAAUGCUAACUGUUAGUAGUGGUUUGAAAUUCUGUUAUUCUUCACAUGAUAAGGUGGAAUUGGAACAUGCCUAUUGUGAGCAAAAUGUUCUUUUGGAUUUCCAGGUUUCGUUUCUAGAUUACAAGGUUUCUAAUGUGAUGGUAGUAGGAAACCGAAUCAUGAAGAGAUGA
Molecule: non-coding RNA, 273 nt
Organism: Vicia faba (fava bean)
Lineage: Eukaryota; Viridiplantae; Streptophyta; Magnoliopsida; Fabales; Fabaceae
Source: the annotation of a GenBank genome assembly